This is a long non-coding RNA of Budorcas taxicolor (takin), 411 nucleotides long. RefSeq lists it as uncharacterized. Lineage: Eukaryota; Metazoa; Chordata; Mammalia; Artiodactyla; Bovidae. The transcript is spliced from 3 exons. The record is from RefSeq and is a predicted model, not a curated record.
GCGCGGAGCACUCGCCCGCCCCACCCCCCGUUCUCACUCCCUACCCGCUCCCAGCCGCCCGACGCCGGCCCGCCUCCCCGACCCGGCACUGACCGGGCCUUCUAGGAACCUGGGGGAACCCACCAUGGCGACGUUCUCACGGCUCGAGUCUCCGGAACUCAGACUGCACACGCCAGCACCUGACGGCCCGUCGCGCGUCCACUAUGCUCCUUUGUCCUUGGGAUUCUCCAUUCAAGAAUACUGGAGUCGGUUGCCCGCGGCCUCCUCCAGAGGAUCAUCCCGACCCAGGGAAGGAACCUAGGUCUCUUCUGUCUAACCUGCACUGGCAGGAGCAAGUGUCUUCUAAUAUCAUGGCUGCAGUCACGAUCCUCAGUGAUUUUGGAGCAAAAGUAAAUAAAGUUUCUCACUGUU